CCUACGGGUGGCAGCAGUGGGGAAUAUUGGGCAAUGGAGGAAAGUCUGACCCAGCAAUGCCGCGUGAAUGAAGAAGGUCUUCGGGUUGUAAAGUUCUUUAGUCAGGGAAGAAGAAAGUGACGGUACCUGAGGAAUAAGCUACGGCUAACUACGUGCCAGCAGCCGCGGUAAUACGUAGGGGGCAAGCGUUAUGCGGAUUGACUGGGCGUAAAGGGAGCGUAGGCGGUGGUCUAGGUUAGACGUGAAGGACGCCGGCCUUACCGGGGUCGUGCUUCGGAAACCGUGCGACUUGAGUGCAGUAGAGGUCAGUGGACCUCCUUGUGUAGCGGUGGCAUGCGUAGAUAUUUGGAGGAACACCAGUGGCGAAGGCGGCUCUCUGGUCUGCAACUGACGCUGAGGCUCGA
This 404-nucleotide ribosomal RNA is filed under the name uncultured bacterium. RNAcentral describes it as "partial 16S ribosomal RNA". It matches the Rfam family "Bacterial small subunit ribosomal RNA", at positions 338 to 756 of the family's 1533-position model. The record is from RNAcentral.